RNAcentral lists this ribosomal RNA (893 nucleotides) under uncultured bacterium. RNAcentral describes it as "bacterial SSU rRNA". It matches the Rfam family "Bacterial small subunit ribosomal RNA", at positions 505 to 1398 of the family's 1533-position model. The record is from RNAcentral.
GUGUCAGCCGCCGCGGUAAUACGAAGGGACCUAGCGUAGUUCGGAAUUACUGGGCUUAAAGAGCACGUAGGUGGUUAAGAAAGUUGGUGGUGAAAUCCCAAGGCUUAACUUUGGAACUGCCACCAAAACUUUUUAACUAGAGUAUGAUUGAGGUAAGCGGAAUUUCUAGUGUAGAGGUGAAAUUCGUAGAUAUUAGAAAGAACACCAAUUGCGAAGGCAGCUUUCUGGAUCAUUACUGACACUGAGGUGCGAAAGCAUGGGUAGCGAAGAGGAUUAGAUACCCUCGUAGUCCAUGCCGUAAACGAUGUGUGCUAGACGUUGGGAAUUUAUUUUUCAGUGUCGCAGCAAAAGCGUUAAGCACACCGCCUGGGGAGUACGACCGCAAGGUUAAAACUCAAAUGAAUUGACGGGGACCCGCACAAGUAGUGGAGCAUGUGGUUUAAUUCGAAGAUACGCGCAGAACCUUACCAACACUUGACAUGUUCGUCGCGACUCUAAGAGAUUAGAGUUUUCGGUUCGGCCGGACGAAACACAGGUGCUGCAUGGCUGUCGUCAGCUCGUGUCGUGAGAUGUUGGGUUAAGUCCCGCAACGAGCGCAACCCUUACUUUUAGUUGCUACCAUUUAGUUGGGCACUCUAGAAGAGCUGCCGGUGAUAAGCUGGAGGAAGGUGGGGAUGACGUCAAGUCCUCAUGGCCCUUAUGUGUUGGGCUACACACGUGCUACAAUGGUAUUUACAGUGGGAUGCAAAGAGGCAACUCCAAGCUAACCCUCAAAGAAUACCUCAGUUCGGAUUGUACUCUGCAACUCGAGUACAUGAAGCUGGAAUUACUAGUAAUCGCGGAUCAGCGCGCCGCGGUGAAUACGUUCCCGGGUCUUGCACACACCGCCCGUC